Molecule: long non-coding RNA, 1111 nt
Filed under: Oryctolagus cuniculus (rabbit)
Lineage: Eukaryota; Metazoa; Chordata; Mammalia; Lagomorpha; Leporidae
Description: lncRNA (ENSOCUG00000032141.1)
Source: RNAcentral
GGCCAGCAGCUGGCUCGGGGAGCAGCGGCUGCCGCGGAAGGGCAGGGUGCCCGGGAGUCCGUGCUGGGCCAGGGCAGAGUGUGCCUGGGAGGCCAGAGCGGGGCCGGUGUCUGCCGCGUUCCCUGGAGACCGUGUCCACGCCGAGUUCUGCGCCAGCUCUGCUCCCACGACACGCGUGCCCCGUCUCUCCCCAUGGCAUGCGGCUGACGAAGCUGUCGGCCUGUGAAACAUUUAGAAAAGAUUUGCUUACUUGUCUAUUUGAAUGGCAGUGUACGAGAGAGAGAGAGAGAGAGAGAGAGAGAGAGAGAGAGAGAGGAGAGACACAGGGCUGGUUCAUCCCCCAAAUGGCCGCUACAGCCCGGGCUGGGCCAGGAGCGCCAUCCGGGCUCCCGCGUGGGUGCAGGAGCCCAAGCACUCGAGUCGCCUCCUGCUGCCUCCCCAGGUGCAUCAGCAGGAAACCGGGUGGAAAGUGGAGAAGCUGGGGCCGAAGCCGGUGUGCUGCCAUGGGGUGCCGGUGUCACAAGCGGUGGCUUUGCCCCCUGCACCUCAGUGCCGGCCCCCGCCUGCUGCGCGUGCUGUGGCUAAGGCCGGAGGUAGCAGUGUCCAGCACAUGCCAGUGUUCGCUGGGCACUGGCCCGGUGCUGGUGGGCUCUGAUUCUGCUGCCCAUGCGCCAGAGCGAGGGGUCCCAGGGGUGCAAAGCUCUUCCUUCGCUUCCCGUCUUGUCACCCAACAAGGCCCUGCGGGCGCUGUCGGAGAGACACAGAGGGGCGGCCUGGCUGCGGAACACAGGUCACCGCUGGCCGCCCUGCCCGGGAAGGCUGGGGGCAGCGGCUGUGCGGUCUCAGCUGGGGGACACCUUCACUUCCCUGGUGUCGUGUCCCUGUCUGGACCGUCCGCCUGCCUGGGACGUGGGACUGCGGUCUGGGGUGAUAGCGACACGAGGAACAGCCUCAUGUGCUGGGGGAGGUUGGGGCAAAUGGGGUCUCGGACCUGGGCUUGUGGAUUCGUCACUUUCCGUAGAGAAUCCCACUGCCCAUGGCUGGGUCCCUGGUGGGAGUGAGGAACCGCCUCAGGAUCCCCAGCGGCCCGGAGUCACCUGCGGGCUGGCCC